This 1759-nucleotide long non-coding RNA is filed under the name Rattus norvegicus (Norway rat). Its description in RNAcentral is "long non-coding RNA NONRATT019917". Lineage: Eukaryota; Metazoa; Chordata; Mammalia; Rodentia; Muridae. The record is from RNAcentral.
UGGCACAGGAGGCCGAGGCCGAGGUGGAGGUAGAGGAGGUCCCCAACACCGUCCUCAUCUGUAUGGUGAUCCUGCUGAACAUCGGCCUGGCUAUCCUAUUCGUUCACCUCCUGACUUGACCCUCAUCUACCAGAACCACUGAGGAUGCCAGGACCUGUCUUUCUGCAGUGCCAAGCAGGUGUCCCAGGAGGAUGGGACUGCGGACCUAAAGCCUUGCUCACAUCCACUCCAUGGACAUUUAAGGAGGCCUCCCGUGAGCCCAUGCUGGGUGCCGGGGUGCCAGAGGAAGAGAAUGUCUAGGUACCCUCCGGGGUAAAGGAUGCCCCGAGGGAGUAGCCCUGGUCUCCCGAACCCCUUUGCUCCUGCACCUGUCCUCAGUCCUGCCCCACUUUGCCCUGCCACCCUUCCCUGGGCUUUUGUGCGUUUUGAGAGAUAUCACGAAAGCAAGAUAUUCAUACAGAUCUCUCCCUCUUCCUCCUACCCUACCCCCAACCUAGUCCUCUGGCUGAUGGCUUGAGGCCACGCAGAAAGACAAAGGGUGCAGAUGUCCCUUGGGUAGUGCAGUCACUCCCCCAGCCUAUACUGCUCAGAGUUCACAGACUUCUGGAGGGCAGCGUAGGAAACAGAGAAGCCCAGUUGAAUAUCCUCCAACCAGUCCAGUUGUCAUCCCCUAGGACCAGUAGUGGGGGAGACCUGAGCAUCUGAGCCUUUGGCUGGGAAGCCACCUAAAGGGGUCUGGGGUGGGGUGGAGAAGGUUAGGCAUGUUGGUGAUGGCCCCUAAUUCUGAGUGUGUCUGAGCCUGAGGCAGGAGUUCAUUUAGGGUCAUAGAUGUUCCCUGGGCAUUUCGUAGGAGCUCUGCGUCUGAGAGCUACGGCUACUGUGAUGUCCUAUGAAUUGGCUUAUCCCUGUCCCCCGUCGAAGCCACAUUGGGAUCAGGGGAGCAUGGCACGGAAAUCUGUGGAAGUCGAGAGCUGUAUCCCCUGGUGCGCAUUCUCUGGCAGAGGCUGGAGACAAGCGCUGUGCAGGAGACGGGAGCAAGUCUGGGCUCUAGCCAGAUGCGGCCUGUGCAACAAUGAAUCAUGCUUGGCAAAAGGUUUACCCGCAUGCACCUCACUUAAAGAAGUUUGCACCACACUGUGUGUCCCGGCCCUCAGGCUUGCUGGGUAUAGCAUGGCAGCUCAGGACAAGUGGCUCCCCAUUCCCAGGAGGGUGGAAGGAAAGAGUCGCAGGCCCCUCGAGUUUAGGGAAGAGGAGGCGACGGCAUCCACACUGAGCUGGAGGAAGCUAUUGGUCCUCUGACUUUGGACCUCUCGGACUUGAGCAUGGAAGCCAGGUAUCCUCCCAGGGCAACGUUGAACCUACAUAUUGGGGGUCAGCUUCCUUUUCUUCUCAGUCCACGGGCACCUUCUCCUCUAGAGUCACACUGGCUGCUCCUAGCUCUGCUGGGGCCUGGUGGUUUGGUUGGAAUUGCUUUUCUACUGACAGGAGCCUGCGGAUGCUCUUGUACCUGCCAGCGUAGGCAGGGCUCUGCCUCUGGUUGGGUUUUCCUGGAUUCUAGGGAGUAAGGGGGUGACAGGCCCUCGGCCUUGGUUCUGAGGUCAUUGCUCUCCACUCUGGGUGCGGUCCAGGCCUGAGAACAAGCUUGUCACUGUCAGAGCUAUCAGAGCUGUUUUAGGGGAUAUGGGUUGAAGGGUUAGGGUUCAGGAUGCCAAGUCUGUGCCAAAAUAAAUCCGCAUAUGCUCACAAGUUCAACUGCACU